This is a long non-coding RNA of Schistocerca nitens (vagrant locust), 1066 nucleotides long. RefSeq lists it as uncharacterized. Lineage: Eukaryota; Metazoa; Arthropoda; Insecta; Orthoptera; Acrididae. The record is from RefSeq and is a predicted model, not a curated record. The transcript has 4 exons.
AAAUGUAAUCUCUGCCAUAUUUGUUUACCUUUGCGUUUAAAUAAUAAAAAAAAAAAAGUUCUGGAUCACUGGAUGAUUUAACGACGCUGAAGGUUGCCAAAAAUAUAAACCUCUGAGGCCAAAGGAAUGACUAGAAAUCUGAACUGUUUGUUCUGUCUUCAGACAGACAGCUAGUGAACUAGCGAAUAUGAUCCAGUGAACUCAAAGGCCUGCACACAAAAAUUGGAGAAUGGAACUGUUAUCUGUUGACAAGCUUUUGAAGAAGGAUGUAAUGCAGCAGUGAAGCAUCUGGAGUGAACUUCAGUGAACAUUGACAUGACAAAAAUCUUGUUAAUGGCAAGGAAUGAAUAUUCAGUAACCUACUUCAGCUACAAAACUGCCACUUUGCUUCAUGCUUCACUUCAGGUCAUCUGAGGUUACUGUAGCAAUUGAAAGUGCUGUUGAGAGGCAGUAUGGUAUUGUGAAUAUUUUGCUGUAAUGUACUAAAGAUGUAAUGUUCCUUCAAGAAAUUGAAAUAAUAUUUUGUAACAAAUGUAAAAAAAUUAGGUUAAAAUACAUAGUGAUUCUAAUUACAGAAGUUAUUCAACAGUUUUUAUUUGAAUAGUAGUUUCUGUGUUACACUGCAGCAAAGCAAUAAUAUUUUAAGUUUUUGUAUCUGGCAAGUAUUUACACUUGGAUAUAAAAAUAUGAAGAGAGUCAUGUACAGUAGUAUGUGACAUUUGGUUUGCUGUUUAUUAUGUAAUAAGAAUGGAAGGCAGAAGAGGUUUGGCUACAUUUAGUUCUGUAUAGUGUGUAGAUUCAUUAUGUUAUUUAAAUCGUAAUGUUCCAGUCAAAAACUGACUCAUUUGCAGACAGAAAGUUCAUGCAUAAAAUUAAAUCUUUCAUAGUGAGUUGAACCCUACCACUAAAAAUACAUUACAAUUGAAGAUGUAAGUUUUUAUGUUGUAAAUUGUACAUCAUUCACUCUUCACAAGACCUUACGUGUAUGUAGUGAGCGAGCUGGCCCAGUGGUAAGACACAGGGCUUUAGAGAGGCUGGCAGUAAAAAUCACUUUCAUUAAGAUAAA